Molecule: long non-coding RNA, 562 nt
Filed under: Homo sapiens (human)
Lineage: Eukaryota; Metazoa; Chordata; Mammalia; Primates; Hominidae
Description: HSALNT0368565
Source: RNAcentral
CUUUCCCAAGCUGCCUGAGUAGAAGGAAACACACAGCUCCCCCAGAGCAGAGAGGCCCGCGAGAGGGAAAGCUGGCCCAGGCCCAGGGCAGGCUCGCCUCUGACUCUGCAGGGACAUUAUUCCCUCCCAGCCAGCAGGGAACUUCUGGAACUUCUAAACAGCACAUCCUCGAGCCAGCCCAGGCCCCCACAGCAUCCUGCACCCCAGGUUUACAAGCUUUUUAAUGAAAUCAGAGCACCACAGCCAGCUCUAGCCCAGAGGGAAAGUAAGAGGAUGUUUCUGCAGCAGCUGUCCUUUCUCCUGUAACUACUAAACUGUCGCCCCUCACUAAAGAGGAUGGCUUUGCCUAUGCUGUCCCCACCCCUUGAAGCGAGCUUCCUCCUCUAUUGGGAUAGGUAACUCUCUUUUCUUCAAUAAUUCUUUAAUGUUAUAAAAUACCUGCCAGUGUUCACAUUUCCCUGAAUGAUUUUUAAUUCUUUUUCCUUUUUUAGUAUGUUUGUUUGAAGUAGGAAUCUAAACAAGAUCUAUAUAUUGUGAUUAAUUGAUAUGUCUCCGAAGUCUC